Molecule: ribosomal RNA, 496 nt
Filed under: uncultured bacterium
Lineage: Bacteria
Description: partial 16S ribosomal RNA
Rfam family: Bacterial small subunit ribosomal RNA
Source: RNAcentral
GAUGAACGCUGGCGGCGUGCCUAAUACAUGCAAGUCGAGCGAACAGACGAGGAGCUUGCUCCUCUGACGUUAGCGGCGGACGGGUGAGUAACACGUGGAUAACCUACCUAUAAGACUGGGAUAACUUCGGGAAACCGGAGCUAAUACCGGAUAAUAUAUUGAACCGCAUGGUUCAAUAGUGAAAGACGGUUUUGCUGUCACUUAUAGAUGGAUCCGCGCCGCAUUAGCUAGUUGGUAAGGUAACAGCUUACCAAGGCAACGAUGCGUAGCCGACCUGAGAGGGUGAUCGGCCACACUGGAACUGAGACACGGUCCAGACUCCUACGGGAGGCAGCAGUAGGGAAUCUUCCGCAAUGGGCGAAAGCCUGACGGAGCAACGCCGCGUGAGUGAGGAAGGUCUUCGGAUCGUAAAACUCUGUUAUUAGGGAAGAACAAAUGUGUAAGUAACGAUGCACGUCUUGACGGUACCUAAUCAGAAAGCCACGGCUAACUACGU